This 2068-nucleotide ribosomal RNA is filed under the name bioreactor metagenome. RNAcentral describes it as "bacterial LSU rRNA". It matches the Rfam family "Bacterial large subunit ribosomal RNA", at positions 736 to 2925 of the family's 2925-position model. The record is from RNAcentral.
AUGAUCAGGUUGAAGGUUGGGUAACACCAACUGGAGGACCGAACCCACGCCUGUUGAAAAAGUCGGGGAUGAAUUGUGGCUAGGGGUGAAAGGCCAAUCAAACUCGGAAAUAGCUGGUUCUCCGCGAAAACUAUUUAGGUAGUGCGGCAGCCGGACACCUUGAGGGGUAGAGCACUGGAAGAACUAGAGGAGAGCGAUCUUUAUCAAAUUCUACCAAACUCCGAAUACUCAAGAGUGAUAGUUGCCAGACAGACUCUAGGUGCUAAGGUCUAGGGUCGAGAGGGAAAGAGCCCAGACCGUCGAUUAAGGUCCCAAAAUUAUGGCUAAGUGGUAAAGGAAGUGGAUUGUCCAAAACAGUCAGGAGGUUGGCUUAGAAGCAGCCAUCCUUUAAAGAAAGCGUAAUAGCUCACUGAUCUAGCUAAGACGAUUUGCGCCGAAGAUGUAACGGGGCUAAAGCCAUAUACCGAAAUCACGGGUUCAUAUGAUGAAUAUGAGCGGUAGCGGAGCGUUCUGUAGGCCUGCGAAGGUGUUCCGUAAGGGAUGCUGGAGGUAUCAGAAGUGAGAAUGCUGACAUGAGUAGCGAAAAGGAGUGUGAGAGACACUCCCGCUGAAAGUCCAAGGUUUCCUGCGUAAAGCUAAUCUGCGCAGGGUUAGUCGGCCCCUAAGGCGAGGCUGAGAAGCGUAGUCGAUGGGAAGCAGGUUAAUAUUCCUGCACCAGGUGGGAAGUGACGGAUGACAGGUGUUGUAACUGAUUAAUGGAUUUUGGUUGCAGCUGAGUUGUCCCGGGAAAUAGCCCCACUAUAGACCGUACCCGAAACCGACACAGGUGGACAGGUAGAGAAUACCAAAGCGCUUGAGAGAACUAUGUUGAAGGAACUAGGCAAAAUACUUGCGUAACUUCGGGAUAAGCAAGCCCCAUUUUUGGGCAACCAGAGGUGGGGGGCACAUACUAGGGGGUAGCGACUGUUUACUAAAAACACAGGACUCUGCUAAAUUGAAAGAUGAAGUAUAGGGUCUGACGCCUGCCCGGUGCCGGAAGGUUAAGGAGAGAUGUGCGAGCAUUGAACUGAAGCCCCGGUAAACGGCGGCCGUAACUAUAACGGUCCUAAGGUAGCGAAAUUCCUUGUCGGGUAAGUUCCGACCUGCACGAAUGGCGUAACGACUUCCCCGCUGUCUCCAACAUAGGCUCAGCGAAAUUGAACUCUGAGUUAAGAUGCUCAGUACCCGCGGUUAGACGGAAAGACCCCGUGAACCUUUACUAUAGCUUUGCAGUGGUAUUAGGUAAGAGAUGUGUAGGAUAGGUGGGAUGCUAUGAAGCUUGGACGCUAGUUUGAGUGGAGCAGACGUUGAAAUACCACCCUUCUGUUAUUUGAUAUCUAACCUGCUGCCCUGAACGGGUAGAGGGACCCUGCAUGGUGGGUAGUUUGACUGGGGCGGUCGCCUCCCAAAGAGUAACGGAGGCGUGCAAAGGUUAGCUCAGACUGGUCGGAAAUCAGUCGUUAGAGUGCAAUGGCAUAAGCUAGCUUGACUGCGAGAGAGACAUUUCGAGCAGAGACGAAAGUCGGUCAUAGUGAUCCGGUGGUCCCGAGUGGAAGGGCCAUCGCUCAACGGAUAAAAGGUACUCCGGGGAUAACAGGCUGAUUCCGCCCAAGAGUUCACAUCGACGGCGGAGUUUGGCACCUCGAUGUCGGCUCAUCACAUCCUGGGGCUGGAGAAGGUCCCAAGGGUUUGGCUGUUCGCCAAUUAAAGUGGUACGCGAGCUGGGUUUAGAACGUCGUGAGACAGUUCGGUCCCUAUCUGCCGUGGGUGUAGGAUACUUGAAAGGAUUUGUCUUUAGUACGAGAGGACCGAGAUGAACAGACCUCUGGUGUGUCAGUUGUUCUGCCAAGAGCAACGCUGAGUAGCUAAGUCUGGACGGGAUAACCGCUGAAUGCAUCUAAGCGGGAAACCCACCUUGAAACUAGGUAUCCCCAUUAAGACCGUGGUAGACCACCACGUUGAUAGGUUAGGUGUGUAAGCACAGCAAUGUGUUUAGCUAACUAAUACUAAUAGUCUGAUUGGCUUGAUU